GCUGGUAUCGUCUAGAGGCCCAGGACACCCGCCUUUCACGCGGACGACGUAGGGUUCGAAUCCCACUACCAGCUCCA
Molecule: transfer RNA, 77 nt
Filed under: Achromobacter xylosoxidans
Lineage: Bacteria; Pseudomonadati; Pseudomonadota; Betaproteobacteria; Burkholderiales; Alcaligenaceae
Also listed under: 1 other name
Description: tRNA-Glu
Rfam family: tRNA
About the family: Transfer RNA (tRNA) molecules are approximately 80 nucleotides in length.
Source: RNAcentral